UUACGGCCAUAUCACGUUGAAACACAGUUUACCAUACCAUCACUGAAGUUAAGCAACGUCGAGCCUAGUCAGUACCUAUACGGGUGGUCGCUUGGGAAUACCGGGUGGUGUAA
This is a non-coding RNA of Acanthosepion pharaonis, 113 nucleotides long. The record is from the annotation of a GenBank genome assembly. NCBI's taxonomy places the organism in Eukaryota, Metazoa, Mollusca, Cephalopoda, Sepiida, Sepiidae.